AACGAACGCUGGCGGCAUGCCUAACACAUUCAAGUCGAACGAGACCUUCUGGUCUAGUGGCGCACGGGUGCGUAACGCGUGGGAACCUGCCCUUAGGUUCGUAAUAACUCCCCGAAAGGGGUGCUAAUACCGGAUAAUGUCUUCGGACCAAAGAUUUAUCGCCUUUGGAUGGGCCCGCGUUGGAUUAGCUAGUUGGUAGGGUAAAAGCCUACCAAGGCGACGAUCCAUAGCUGGUCUGAGAGGAUGAUCAGCCACACUGGGACUGAGACACGGCCCAGACUCAUACGGGAGGCAGCAGUGGGGAAUAUUGGACAAUGGGCGAAAGCCUGAUCCAGCAAUGCCGCGUGAGUGAUGAAGGCCUUAGGGUUGUAAAGCUCUUUUACCCGGGAUGAUAAUGACAGUACCGGGAGAAUAAGCUCCGGCUAACUCCGUG
This 433-nucleotide ribosomal RNA is filed under the name uncultured bacterium. RNAcentral describes it as "partial 16S ribosomal RNA". It matches the Rfam family "Bacterial small subunit ribosomal RNA", at positions 29 to 507 of the family's 1533-position model. The record is from RNAcentral.